GAAAGGCUGACGCAGCGACGCCGCGUGGAGGAUGAAGUCCGAUAGGAUGUAAACUCCUUUUGUAGGGGAUGAAUACUCCGCUAUAUGCGGAGAUGACCGUACCCUGCGAAUAAGGAUCGGCUAACUACGUGCCAGCAGCCGCGGUAAUACGUAGGACCCGAGCGUUGUCCGGAAUCACUGGGUGUAAGGGCGUGUAGGUGGGGCUCUCAGUCGGGGGUGAAAUCCUGCGGCUUAACCGCAGAACUGCUUCCGAUACUGGAGCUCUUGAGUACGGCAGAGGGAGAUGGAAUUCAUGGUGUAGCGGUGAAAUGUGUAGAUAUCAUGAAGAACACCGGUUGCGAAGGCGGUCUCCUGGUCCGUUACUGACACUGAGGCGCGAAAGCGUGGGGAGCAAACAGGAUUAGAUACCCUGGUAGUCCACGCCUUAAACGAUGGGUACUCGGUGCUGGGCCGCGAGGUUCAGUGCCAAAGCUAACGCAUUAAGUACCCCACCUGGGGAGUAC
Molecule: ribosomal RNA, 503 nt
Filed under: uncultured bacterium
Lineage: Bacteria
Description: bacterial SSU rRNA
Rfam family: Bacterial small subunit ribosomal RNA
Source: RNAcentral